RNAcentral lists this ribosomal RNA (274 nucleotides) under uncultured bacterium. Its description in RNAcentral is "partial 16S ribosomal RNA". It matches the Rfam family "Bacterial small subunit ribosomal RNA", at positions 523 to 796 of the family's 1533-position model. The record is from RNAcentral.
AUACAGAGGGUGCAAGCGUUAAUCGGAAUUACUGGGCGUAAAGCGCACGUAGGUGGUUCAUUAAGUCAGAUGUGAAAGCCCCGGGCUCAACCUGGGAACUGCAUUUGAAACUGGUGAGCUAGAGUAUGGUAGAGGUAAGUGGAAUUCCAGGUGUAGCGGUUGAAUGCGUAGAUAUCUGGAGGAACAUCAGUGGCGAAGGCGACUUACUGGACCAAUACUGACACUGAGGUGCGAAAGCGUGGGGAGCAAACAGGAUUAGAAACCCGGGUAGUCC